RNAcentral lists this ribosomal RNA (2049 nucleotides) under Triticum aestivum (bread wheat). RNAcentral describes it as "partial small subunit ribosomal RNA". Lineage: Eukaryota; Viridiplantae; Streptophyta; Magnoliopsida; Poales; Poaceae. The record is from RNAcentral.
GGGGCAACUUCCGGUCGUUUGCGUGCGGCACGGGGUGCGAAGUAGUGUGAAGUGUGGAGUGCGCGCAUGCGAACAGAUCAAGCAGGGGGAGCGGCCGCUGGGUGGGUAGGUAACUACCGUCGCUGCCGCCAGCACCCGCGGCGAAGAGCGAGGGCAGAGGAGGAGGUGGUGGUGGCUGAGGGAGUCCAAGGUCGGCCACCCCCUCCAAGCGACUCCCACCCGCGCGAGCCCCGGCCUGCCCUAACCUCUGCUGCCCAGGCCCAGCCCCAAUCCCAAAAGCGCGCGAUGAGGAGGGUCGGUGUUCUGAAGAGAUCAGCUGAGGUUCUAUCUCGACCACUUAACGGCUUUAAUCAUCUCCUAGAAGAGGUCUGCAGCUAAUCGUGUCCCGGAGCUCCACGGAAAUCCUACCGCGUUCCCUAGGUUCGAGAGGAACCCCAACCACCCCUCACCGAUUUACUGAAGAGCUUCUGUCGAUUGUGCAGUCUUCCUUAAGGUCGAGUCUACGCAGAACCAAACGAAAGGGGAGAAAUGGAGUCUUCCGAAAAACUUGCGUACCCACGUUGAAUAUAGUUCGAUCCAGUCAAGUAUCGCAGACGUGGUUGAAGGAAAGGACGUCUUAUACAACUUCUUAAGGUCUUGACAAAACUGGCUCGUGGUGGACAAGGAAUAUCGCUCUAGCUCAGCUAUAACGCACUCCUCAACGUCGCCGGUAACCUAUCACAGAUACUCAUGUAACUAGGGCACGGUUAUCGUAGACGAAGUUAUCGUGUCCAAGUACCCCGAUCUAACUUCUCGAGAGUCUUCCUACACCACUAAUUUCAGGACUUUGGACCUUAACUUCUAUGAAACCAACGGCUAGACUUAAAAUAGAUAGAACAACGUGCACAAAACCUCAAAGAUUCGGGACUUAAUCUCUCCUGUAGUGACCAUCGAUAGUAGUUCCUGUAUUUCCUUAGUUACGAACUCCUUCAACUAAAAUCUUUCCUUCGACAUUUAUACCUCCGAAAGGUCUCUAUGUAGCUUCGUUACCCUAAACUAUCCGUCCGGUUUAGAGGUAAACACAUAGUCGUGACAUCGUGUUUCGCACAGAAUUGAUACCUUUCUAACAUACCACAAGGUGAGUGGCUAGAACUAAGAUAUUCCAGAGAACAAGGACUAGGACUCAACUGAAAUCAGUGACGGGAGUUACAGACCAAACCUUCGAACUAGAGUACACUUAGGAAGGUACGCCUACACGUACGUCCUUUGGAUACCAACGAAGCACUACCUGCACAACCUAAAUAGCUAAAACCUUAACAACCAGCUUAUAGGGGUUCCUGAACCCGACGAUACCUCUAGAAAAACCGAAGAAAGCGUUGACUCCUAAUGUUACGAUACCGUAGCCGGGAAAGGCUUUACCCACGAUGUCCCUUACUAUAUCUACAACUGAGGAAACGUUUCCUGAACGUUUUAUAUAAGAGUAGCGAUGUCCUCAACCUAUGACUUUAAUAUCACCGUCGACGUUCUUCAAGACUACGACGUCGACAUAGACGAUUACAACAACAUCUGCUCUCCGUCUACUUACGUGACAAAGAACUAGACCAUUCCCAAUCGCUCAGUAUACCCGACUUUAAAGGAUCCCUUAAGCGAGAAGAGUACUUCGUUGAAGAAAUAAAACUAGCCAUGUGAUCUGACGACCGAGGGUCGUACUUGUACGACGCUCUACUCUCCUAAUUGUAAUGAAGGUUGUUCGUGUGGUCUUCUUACUUAACUAAGAUAGAAGGUAGUAAACUCCUUAACCACGUUCUGUACCUGUUCACUAUAACUCCUUAAGGUAGACAGGUCACUCCGCCGACCUAGACACAGCAAUCCUCGCCCUCGACGCUCUCCUCGACCUAUACCUAGGCCUUCUCGACCUAGACGUAGACCUAGUGGUGGCGGACGAGACAGUGGUAGUGUUACUGGUACUGUUGCGGAGGGACGGACGUUCUUGUGCCACUCAUGAGGUGCUGGUACAAGAACAUGACGAAUCUCGUAGAGAUCGGCGCGGAAAUUGUACGGCAGGUCCCG